CGUGCACCAUUGGGGUCCCUCGGCCUGGCCUGCGGGGAUCCAGCUCUCCGACAUCCCCCGAGGGUUCCCAAACUGCGAGAGGGCGCAGGCCAGGCUGAGGGACCCCAGUGGUGCACG
Molecule: microRNA precursor, 117 nt
Filed under: Myotis lucifugus (little brown bat)
Lineage: Eukaryota; Metazoa; Chordata; Mammalia; Chiroptera; Vespertilionidae
Description: mir-9193 microRNA precursor family
Source: Rfam by way of RNAcentral